GAUAUGUCAGCUUACAGAAGUUCCUCCCCAUACUCCACCUUAUGAAACUGGAGAUGGAUUACAGUAACAGCAAACUGGAAUGAAAUUUUUCUGCUGGCUUUGAAGAAGUAAGCUGCCAUGUUGUAAGAAGGCCAUGUGACUGGACCCGAGAGUGGCCUCUAGGUCCUGAGAAUGACCCCCAUCUAAUGGAGGACCUUAGCCCUAAACCACAAGUCUGUGAAUUCUACCAACAACCUGAUGAGCUUGGAAGAGAACCCCAUACCUUGGAUGAGAUCAUAGCCCAGCUGACACUUUGAUCAUUGCUGAAAGAUUUGGCCUUCUACAAUUGUGGAAACCAGUUAAACCGGUUAUGCAGGCUGCUGUCUCAGGCCCUGCAAACUCCAGCAUCACACUGAGACGUUUUAUGUCUGGAGUUUUAUGUCCAGUGAGAAAGGGAAAAAUGGAUGUAAAGAAGUUGGAGCACAAGGGAAGCAAGAUGGCUGGAACAUGAGCACAAGCUGCAGACCAUGAUGAUGGCCUGAAACCUGAAUUAGUUGAUAGCGUGUGUGUCCUGCGGAAGUCAGAACCCUUCACCCCUGCCCAAGCGUCAGAGAAACUGAAAAGGGAACCAGGGAGAAGUUGUAGACCUGGCCACCACACAGCAGUGAGGAAAGC
Long non-coding RNA from Zalophus californianus (California sea lion), 654 nucleotides. RefSeq lists it as uncharacterized. The transcript has 4 exons. Lineage: Eukaryota; Metazoa; Chordata; Mammalia; Carnivora; Otariidae. The record is from RefSeq and is a predicted model, not a curated record.